GCUAUACAUGCAAGUCGAACGAACUCUGGUAUUGAUUGGUGCUUGCAUCAUGAUUUACAUUUGAGUGAGUGGCGAACUGGUGAGUAACACGUGGGAAACCUGCCCAGAAGCGGGGGAUAACACCUGGAAACAGAUGCUAAUACCGCAUAACAACUUGGACCGCAUGGUCCGAGUUUGAAAGAUGGCUUCGGCUAUCACUUUUGGAUGGUCCCGCGGCGUAUUAGCUAGAUGGUGGGGUAACGGCUCACCAUGGCAAUGAUACGUAGCCGACCUGAGAGGGUAAUCGGCCACAUUGGGACUGAGACACGGCCCAAACUCCUACGGGAGGCAGCAGUAGGGAAUCUUCCACAAUGGACGAAAGUCUGAUGGAGCAACGCCGCGUGAGUGAAGAAGGGUUUCGGCUCGUAAAACUCUGUUGUUAAAGAAGAACAUAUCUGAGAGUAACUGUUCAGGUAUUGACGGUAUUUAACCAGAAAGCCACGGCUAACUACGUGCCAGCAGCCGCGGUAAUACGUAGGUGGCAAGCGUUGUCCGGAUUUAUUGGGCGUAAAGCGAGCGCAGGCGGUUUUUUAAGUCUGAUGUGAAAGCCUUCGGCUCAACCGAAGAAGUGCAUCGGAAACUGGGAAACUUGAGUGCAGAAGAGGACAGUGGAACUCCAUGUGUAGCGGUGAAAUGCGUAGAUAUAUGGAAGAACACCAGUGGCGAAGGCGGCUGUCUGGUCUGUAACUGACGCUGAGGCUCGAAAGUAUGGGUAGCAAACAGGAUUAGAUACCCUGGUAGUCCAUACCGUAACGAUGAAUGCUAAGUGUUGGAGGGUUUCCGCCCUUCAGUGCUGCAGCUAACGCAUUAAGCAUUCCGCCUGGGGAGUACGGCCGCAAGGCUGAAACUCAAAGGAAUUGACGGGGGCCCGCACAAGCGGUGGAGCAUGUGGUUUAAUUCGAAGCUACGCGAAGAACCUUACCAGGUCUUGACAUACUAUGCAAAUCUAAGAGAUUAGACGUUCCCUUCGGGGACAUGGAUACAGGUGGUGCAUGGUUGUCGUCAGCUCGUGUCGUGAGAUGUUGGGUUAAGUCCCGCAACGAGCGCAACCCUUAUUAUCAGUUGCCAGCAUUAAGUUGGGCACUCUGGUGAGACUGCCGGUGACAAACCGGAGGAAGGUGGGGAUGACGUCAAAUCAUCAUGCCCCUUAUGACCUGGGCUACACACGUGCUACAAUGGAUGGUACAACGAGUUGCGAACUCGCGAGAGUAAGCUAAUCUCUUAAAGCCAUUCUCAGUUCGGAUUGUAGGCUGCAACUCGCCUACAUGAAGUCGGAAUCGCUAGUAAUCGCGGAUCAGCAUGCCGCGGUGAAUACGUUCCCGGGCCUUGUACACACCGCCCGUCACACCAUGAGAGUUUGUAACACCCAAAGUCGGUGGGGUAACCUUUUAGGAACCAGCCGCCUAAGGUGGGACAGAUGAUUAGGGUGAAGUCGUAACAAGGUUAACCGUAA
This 1492-nucleotide ribosomal RNA is filed under the name Lactiplantibacillus plantarum. Its description in RNAcentral is "bacterial SSU rRNA". It matches the Rfam family "Bacterial small subunit ribosomal RNA". The record is from RNAcentral. Lineage: Bacteria; Bacillati; Bacillota; Bacilli; Lactobacillales; Lactobacillaceae.